This 805-nucleotide unclassified non-coding RNA is filed under the name Octopus sinensis (East Asian common octopus). Its description in RNAcentral is "1,2-dihydroxy-3-keto-5-methylthiopentene dioxygenase, transcript variant X2". Lineage: Eukaryota; Metazoa; Mollusca; Cephalopoda; Octopoda; Octopodidae. The record is from RNAcentral.
AGUCACACACAAAUUGUACCAUCCCCACCUGAUGAACAGCCUCAAUCGACCGACCUCUCACCACAGCACAUCUCCACUAUAUAAAGCGCGCGCGGUAGGCAGAGAGUGAAUUAAGCUCGUAGCGGGUGUUUUACUCCACAAUUAACCAUAAUGGUGCAAGCUUGGUACAUGGAAGAUGUCAGUGGUGGGGAAGAACAGUAUCUCCCUCAAAAACUAGAGCCCAACCAAGAUGUUAGCCUAGCCCAGCUAGACGAGCUAGGCGUUAAAUAUUACGAAAUUGAUGUCGAUUCCUACAAUGGUGAAUUUGAACCUUUAAAGAAAGAAUUUGGUUACACCUAUGAUGAUACAGUGGAUAUCCAUCCCUCUAGAUUUCCUAAUUUCGAUAAUAUGAUGAAGACCUUCUUCUCAGAACACCUUCACACUGAUGAUGAAAUUCGUUUGAUAUUGAAUGGGUCUGGUUACUUUGAUGUACGGGACAAAAAUGACAAGUGGAUCCGUAUAUAUUCUGAGAAAAAAGAUCUUAUAGUGUUACCAGCUGGGAUGUACCAUCGAUUCACCCUUGAUUCCAAGAAAUACAUUAAAGCUAUGCGGCUUUUCAAAGGAGUGCCUGUAUGGACAGCACACACGAGGCCAUAUGACGACUUAGAGUGUCGAAAGGAGUACUUGAAGUCAAUUGGAUUAGAAGCAUGAAGAACUCUAUCGUCAAGUGUAUUAGCAAGAGCUGAAAAUAAUUACCAAAAAAUAAAUUAACUUUUAUUCAUACAUUUGUAUACGUGCACAUACACAUGUAUGUAUGUAUGUAUGU